GGGUGAAACACAUGUACCAACAAUUCGCUCUAAAAUCAACUUCACUCAAAUUUAAGGGAGGUAAGUAGAAUUUCAAAAUAUUUAGCAACUUCAGAGAAAAUUUAGAUAUACAUCUCAAUGAACACUUUGUUUAAGGACCACAUUUACACUCAACAUUUCUAUACAUCUCAUUCUUAAGCUGAAUUGUAAAGAAAUGGUGUAAUAUAUACGACUAUUUAUAUAUCAAUGGGGGCGAUACAAUGUUAUAGAAUAAAUUUGCAAGAAAUCUGACUCAAGUAUAUAAUCUCAAGCGAGUAGUAAUUUGCUGCCUGCACAUAGGGCAUAAAGAUAAUGUUGCGCCACACUCCUUGCAAGUCUACAUAAAAAAAAUAAAAAUAAAUAAAAAACAGAGCAUAUAAGAAUAAGAACCAGAUCCACUUUUACAUGGAGGUUAAACAAAAAUGCAUUUGUUCCUCUGUGUGGUAAUUCCACUUGGCGGGUGAAAAUAGAAUGGUUCUUUUGGCGGUGAAAAUAGAACAUUUUUUCCAAUGAGGUAUCAACAUUCAAAAUGUUCACAUCUGUGUGAUUUUGAUCGAAUGAUGAUUGUCGCUAGUUUUCUGUUAAAAUUUCAUUCUUUUUACGGUGGAUCAAAAUCUAUGAUCUACAAAAAAAUGAUGCUUAGCGAAAUGCAACCACUUUACUAUUGCAUUUAAUCCACGUCUCAAGUUUUAUUAUUUGCACAAGUAUAUAAUAAAUUGACUUACUGUAUGACCGCAUCCAAAAGCCAUGUCCUUUGGAUUUGUUAGACAAAUGGGGCAUAC
This 800-nucleotide long non-coding RNA is filed under the name Medicago truncatula (barrel medic). RNAcentral's name for it is "lncRNA gene18495". The record is from RNAcentral. Lineage: Eukaryota; Viridiplantae; Streptophyta; Magnoliopsida; Fabales; Fabaceae.